UGCCUAACACAAGGAAGUCAAGCGCGAAAGGGGGGGCAACCCCCCGAGUAGAGCUGUGNACGGGUGAGUAACGCAUGGGUAAUCUGCCCUGAAGUUAGGAAUAACACCUCGAAAGGGGUGCUAAUACCAAAUAACAUCUUUCGAACUCCGGUUUGGGAGAUCAAAGACGGCUGAGGCUUGCAAGCUGUCGCUUUAGGAUGAGCCCGCGUACCAUUAGCUAGUUGGUGGGGUAACGGCCCACCAAGGCCAUGAUGGUUAUUUUGUCCUGAAUAAUGGACAGACCCAAUGAUAACCGAAUAACGAGUCAAAACUCAAUAGAGGAGAGCAACAAUGGGCAUCUAUGCUGAAACUAAUGCAUCCAACCAGCAAGAUAUAGGAGGACAACUACUCCAUAUAAACAAAAACAUAAAUACAUACAGAUGGAAGACAGGCAGAUACUUUCUCUUAUAUUGUAAAAAAAUUCAGGCAGAGAUGAAAAAGAAGCGAAAGACAAAAACCACAAAUAAAAAAAUGACAGAAAGAAAAAAGACACGAUAAAAAAGAAAGAGACAUGUGUCGUGUGACGACGGGGACCACUUACUCGACAGUGUAUAAGCAAUAAUAGUCAUUCCACCUAACCCUCCGCACCAUGUAUCCAUGUACUCAACACCCAAAAGAAUCUAAACCAGAAAACAAGCAUAUUAUGAGAAAUAUUACCUAUCAUUACAGAGAAGAUAAUGCUAGAG
RNAcentral lists this unclassified non-coding RNA (725 nucleotides) under uncultured bacterium. RNAcentral describes it as "partial contains 16S ribosomal RNA and 16S-23S ribosomal RNA intergenic spacer region". The stretch from base 3 to 335 matches the Rfam family "Bacterial small subunit ribosomal RNA", at positions 47 to 358 of the family's 1533-position model. The record is from RNAcentral.